This 453-nucleotide long non-coding RNA is filed under the name Nicotiana tabacum (common tobacco). RNAcentral's name for it is "long non-coding RNA (NTAB_LNC017122)". The record is from RNAcentral. Lineage: Eukaryota; Viridiplantae; Streptophyta; Magnoliopsida; Solanales; Solanaceae.
CUACACUUCAACAAAAACUUCCACUUCGUAAGCUUCAAUUUUCCCAGCUUUAUCCUCACUGGAACCUUAACUCGAAGAUUCAAUGGAAUAGUUCCACUCUGUUGAUCCACCUGCAAUGACUGCAACAAAUUGGUAGCAUUCUCUGUUUGCCCUGUCAUUUUCACGUUAAGUACAGUGGUAUUUCUAUGGCCUUGAUAAAACUUUGGCAAUGACCCUUCACAUAAAUUCGUGCCUUUGUACCAUACACUCAAAUGGCUUCCAUUUUCAUAGUAAAUUCCAAUCUUUUUGUUGGGAUUUCUUGCAGUGAUGCUCACGUUAAAUGUUGCGGACAAGCUCAUGUCAUUGUUGAUGUUGAAUUGUGUAAUUCUCAUGCUGUCGACAGAGUACUUUGGUAUUUUUGGUUGGAAGACAAAGUAAAUUAUGGCAGCUAAAAUGCCUAAGAGUAUGAUCAGU